UUGGUUCCUACAUGGUGGAUCUAAAGUCAGGGCGAGUCAGGAAGGUGUGUGGUCGUACCCAAAACAUCACUCCCUACCAGAGGUUCUACAUCCCAGGUACUAUCACUUAUGUGCAUACAUAUGAACCCUGCACAAUCAUUUGACACAAUCUGUCAGUGGCACUGGCACUAAGCAACAUAAAAUGAAAAUAUGUUUCUUAGCAAGCAACCUUACACAUGACGACACAUGUUCUCGAGAAAGAUGAUUCUUUGAACAUCUGCAUACCUAGUGUGAUUGUAUUAGUAUGACUUGUCGGUCCUUGUGAUCGGUAAGCAAGCAAAAUGUACAUUCAGUUGACCCUGGUUCAUCAAUCAAUUAAUUUGAUAGUUGUGAUUUUCUUGCAACUCUACAGCAAUGGAAGCAGCCUGUACUGGCAAGGGGCAGUAAACUGGCGUUUCAAGUGUUUGUCAAGCUCAAGUUGAUGGAGCAAGCCCUUGUGGAUGAAGGGGGAAGUGGGAGUUGUGUUGUUAGAUAUGGCACAAGUCUGGCUCUCGAGAUUACCAAUGGUGUUAGUAUAGUAGGAUUAUGGAACUUCAUUUAGGAAGUUGGUGCUUCCCUGCUUGCAUUUUAUUUUUUGCAACAUAAGUUUCUAAAGCCCAACUUAUGUUGUGUACUAUUUACAGUCGAAUUUGUCAUUUAUGUUUCUCCAGCUAUGUUUCGAAUUUUGAUUUCAUAUUUUUUGACAACAUA
RNAcentral lists this long non-coding RNA (729 nucleotides) under Triticum aestivum (bread wheat). RNAcentral's name for it is "long non-coding RNA (TAES_LNC009310)". Lineage: Eukaryota; Viridiplantae; Streptophyta; Magnoliopsida; Poales; Poaceae. The record is from RNAcentral.